This 148-nucleotide signal recognition particle RNA is filed under the name Nomascus leucogenys (northern white-cheeked gibbon). Its description in RNAcentral is "Metazoan signal recognition particle RNA". It matches the Rfam family "Metazoan signal recognition particle RNA". Rfam says of the family: The signal recognition particle (SRP) is a universally conserved ribonucleoprotein. It is involved in the co-translational targeting of proteins to membranes. Lineage: Eukaryota; Metazoa; Chordata; Mammalia; Primates; Hylobatidae. The record is from Rfam by way of RNAcentral.
GCCGGGCGUGGUGGCGGGCGCCUGUAAUCCCAGCUACUCAGGAGGCUGAGGCAGGAGAAUUGCUUGAACCCGGGAGGCGGAGCUUGCAGUGAGCCGAGAUCGCGCCACUGCACUCCAGCCCGGGUGACAGAGCAAGACUCUGUCUCAA